GAUGAACGCUGGCGGCGUGCCUAAUACAUGCAAGCCGAGCGAACAGACGAGGAGCUUGCUCCUCUGACGUUAGCGGCGGACGGGUGAGUAACACGUGGAUAACCUACCUAUAAGACUGGGAUAACUUCGGGAAACCGGAGCUAAUACCGUAUAAUAUAUUGAACCGCAUGGUUCAAUAGUGAAAGACGGUUUUGCUGUCACUUAUAGAUGGAUCCGCGCCGCAUUAGCUAGUUGUUAAGGUAACGGCUUACCAAGGCAACGAUGCGUAGCCGACGUGAGAGGGUGAUCGGCCACACUGGAACUGAGACACGGUCCAGACUCCUACGGGAGGCAGCAGUAGGGAAUCUUCCGCAAUGGGCGAAAGCCUGACGGAGCAACGCCGCGUGAGUGAUGAAGGUCUUCGGAUCGUAAAACUCUGUUAUUAGGGAAGAACAAAUGUGUAAGUAACUAUGCACGUCUUGACGGUACCUAAUCAGAAAGCCACGGCUAACUACGUG
RNAcentral lists this ribosomal RNA (497 nucleotides) under uncultured bacterium. Its description in RNAcentral is "partial 16S ribosomal RNA". It matches the Rfam family "Bacterial small subunit ribosomal RNA", at positions 28 to 507 of the family's 1533-position model. The record is from RNAcentral.